CCUACGGGGGGCUGCAGUGGGGAAUAUUGGACAAUGGGCGAAAGCCUGAUCCAGCCAUGCCGCGUGUGUGAAGAAGGCCUUCGGGUUGUAAAGCACUUUCAGUGGGGAAGAAAGCCUUGGGGCUAAUACCCUCGAGGAAGGACAUCACCCACAGAAGAAGCACCGGCUAACUCCGUGCCAGCAGCCGCGGUAAUACGGAGGGUGCGAGCGUUAAUCGGAAUUACUGGGCGUAAAGCGCGCGUAGGCGGUCUGAUAAGCCGGUUGUGAAAGCCCCGGGCUCAACCUGGGAACGGCAUCCGGAACUGUCAGGCUAGAGUGCAGGAGAGGAAGGUAGAAUUCCCGGUGUAGCGGUGAAAUGCGUAGAGAUCGGGAGGAAUACCAGUGGCGAAGGCGGCCUUCUGGACUGACACUGACGCUGAGGUGCGAAAGCGUGGGUAGCAAACAGGAUUAGAUACCCGUGAGUC
Molecule: ribosomal RNA, 464 nt
Filed under: Vreelandella stevensii
Lineage: Bacteria; Pseudomonadati; Pseudomonadota; Gammaproteobacteria; Oceanospirillales; Halomonadaceae
Description: partial 16S ribosomal RNA
Rfam family: Bacterial small subunit ribosomal RNA
Source: RNAcentral